ACGCAUAAACAUCUUUUUACUGUCUUCCUAGUCAUAGGUCGUAUGUCUAUGGUUCCAUGUGACAAAUAAAACCUUAACUCGUAUGCCGCUGUCACUCUCGCUCCGGUGGAGUGAAAUACAGAGGGCCACUGCUUGUCCCGCUAACAGCACCUAAUGUGGCAAGAAAACACCUGGAGGAAGACUCUUGUUGUAUGCCAGAGCACUAUUGUUGCUACCGUUACGUGCUCUUCAUUGAGUCUGCACCCGCAGUUUCCAGGCCAUACUCCUUGAGUGGAUGAAAAUUCCUGUUUUGAUUAGAAAAGUAGAAUAUCAGCUUACCUUUUCCAUUGAGUGGUGAGGUUACAGUACCUCUCAGAUUUGGUAGGUGUUGCCCCAGGGCAGGCUAGGAAGAUGUCAAAGAAGAAGAAGCACAAAAAGUCGAGGCACAGAACAUCUUCACCAGAGAAGGCGGGUGAGGACAGUGCUAAGAAACAGAGGAGAGUGGCCUAUGAGAAAAGGGAAGAGGGUAAUUACGAGCAUGGCAGACCAUCAAGGUGAGUGCGGCGUAUACUCUCCCCAGUGCUUGUCUAUCAGUGUCCAUCACUCAGACUCUGCCCUUUCACAUCUAGCCAGAGCAAGCUGCAACCAUCUAAAAUGGCAUGUGCUGCAACCAUCUAAAAUUGCUGCAGUUUGUUUGUCCAAUACAGCCAGCUUAAGCAUCAGCUCUCUUCUUUGCUGACAUGUUUAUCUCAACCCUUAUCAGUUUAUACUUUCCAUCUCCAUCAAGGCCCUGCUGUAAUGGUGAUGACUGCAGGUAUAGGAUGGGAUUUUUCUGUAUGUAUCAGAGAACUAGUGUUAGGUGAAAAUUUACUCAAGUUACCUCAGGACUCCGGAGUUGCAUAUAAGUAUAUUUAUUAGACAACAACAACAAGCUCGUUGGGCUCACCAACGUCUUUGAUGGUCAGAGAGAGACACGGAAGCCUGAGUGUGUAAGAUAAAUUUGAAUUAUCAAAUUUAUCAAAUCAAAUGUAUCAAAUGAAGUAUAUCAAAUGAAAAAAUCAGUCAGAAACAGCAAGUUCAGUUCACGUGGGAAAUGUAAAGCCAGACGAGAGAGCAAGUUAAAACUGGGACAGAGGGCUGUGAGAAAGGGCAGCGAAAAGAGAAAUCAUAAAUGGUCAAGGUUGUGGCGCAGAUAAGGGAAAGCUUCCAGACGAUAGAUGUGUCAGCAGAUUAAAAGCAGAAGUUCUGUAAGUGGAAAAUACCACAAGAAUCACGUGUUAUUACUAUGUACAGAGUGGACGAGACAGUAUGUCACAAUCUUAAGAUCGAUAGAUGGGCGGACCAGAGUGACAUCACAGGAUUAGGCCUUAAAAGUUUGAGCAUCGCCUGUAUCAGAUCAGAAUGUAUUCUCCGGCUUGCUUGACUGUACUUGAUUGUCUGUUGAGCGAGUUGUAUUGUACCAGCAUCUACCAGUAAAACGUAUCUUGUUACAACAAAUUGCUUCGUACGGUGGUUCCUCUCUAAAACAACACGCAAGAGUGAAAAUAACUCUAACACGUGCUCACUCCCACACUGCAGCAGACGAGAGAACAGCAAUAUUAAACACAUCGCACAAGGUUUAUAUAGAUAUAAGUUAAGCGUUCUCUGGCGCCAAUACAAUUUGUCAGCAGGGAUAACCACGUGGUGGGUCUGUGACGUCCGAGGCUCCCUGUCCUGCAAGGAUGUCAGUUUUGCACAAGGUCGAAAGAAGAGCAGUUCGACCCUUCUUAUCACCUUUAAGAUAAAUUUAAAAAGCAACUGUCAAAUGGAAAAUACCAGACAGCCAGCGAGGUCAAGCAGGGACAGAAUGCACUGUGCUAAAGGCACUUGAAAUGUGGAAAAAAAAACAUGUUGACAGCAGAUUCAAAAUGCAAAAGUUCUGUUAACGGACAAAGGUCAGCAUUUACAAGAAAUCAUGUGUUACUACUAGUGCUGUCAAACGAUUAAAAUAUUUAAUCGCGAUUAAUCGCAUUUAUGUCAUAGUUAACUCAAAAUGAAUCGCAAUUAAUGUCCCUUCAUUUUUUUUUUCCAUCAUUUUUUUUUUCAUUUUAAUGCUCUUAUCAAAAUGGAAA
Clupea harengus (Atlantic herring) is the source of this 2090-nucleotide long non-coding RNA. The record is from Ensembl. Lineage: Eukaryota; Metazoa; Chordata; Actinopteri; Clupeiformes; Clupeidae.